This is a non-coding RNA of Phrynosoma platyrhinos (Desert horned lizard), 72 nucleotides long. Lineage: Eukaryota; Metazoa; Chordata; Lepidosauria; Squamata; Phrynosomatidae. The record is from the annotation of a GenBank genome assembly.
GUCAGUAUGGUCUAAUGGUUUGAGUGUUGGACUAUGACUUUGGGGACCAGGGUUCAAUUCCCUGCUUGGCCA